UACGUAGGGUGCAAGCGUUGUCCGGAAUUAUUGGGCGUAAAGAGCUCGUAGGCGGUUUGUCGCGUCGAAUGUGAAAACCCGGGGCUCAACCCCGGGCCUGCAUUCGAUACGGGCAGACUAGAGUUCGGUAGGGGAGUCUGGAAUUCCUGGUGUAGCGGUGAAAUGCGCAGAUAUCGGGAGGAACACCAGUAGCGAAGGCGGCACUCUGGGCCGGUACUGACGCUGAGGAGCGAAAGCGUGGGGAGCGAACAGG
This 253-nucleotide ribosomal RNA is filed under the name uncultured bacterium. Its description in RNAcentral is "partial 16S ribosomal RNA". It matches the Rfam family "Bacterial small subunit ribosomal RNA", at positions 524 to 776 of the family's 1533-position model. The record is from RNAcentral.